GGCCGGCUCAGUCCACCGCCCCGCCCCCGGCCUCGCGCCCCACCCCUUGGAUGAGGAAACUGAAACUGAGAGGGGACGUGAUUGAUCCAAGGUCAUACAGAAAGUCAGGCCCUGGGGAGUACAGGGCCAGGCCUGGGGCAAAAGGCCGGUGGGCGUCCAGUACGCCACAGGGACCAGCCAAAGGAGGCAGUGCCCAGUGAUGCUUUCCCAAAUCCAGGGGAGAAGGACUCAACGACAUAUGCCCAACCCAGAGCUGGAUCACAAGGAAGACUGGAAGCUCCACCCUCCCCCCCCAUGGAGCUUCCCUGUUACAAGAGGACACAAACAUACAUCUGCAUGUUGAUCUGAGAGCCCUGUGUGGAGAGGAACUAGGCCCCCAGCCAACAACCAGCAGUGACUCACUGUGAGAGAGUGAAUCAUCUUGGAAGUGGAUCCUAAGCCCCAAUAGAGACUUCAGAUGAGACUGCAACCCUGGCUGACAUCUGACUGCAGUGGCAUAAGAAACCCUGAGUCAGAAUCACCCUGCAAAGCCCAAAUUCUUGACCCACCAAGUGAAAGAGAAUAAAUGACUAUUGUUGUGUUUG
Pongo pygmaeus (Bornean orangutan) is the source of this 584-nucleotide long non-coding RNA. RefSeq lists it as uncharacterized. NCBI's taxonomy places the organism in Eukaryota, Metazoa, Chordata, Mammalia, Primates, Hominidae. The transcript has 3 exons. The record is from RefSeq and is a predicted model, not a curated record.